RNAcentral lists this ribosomal RNA (447 nucleotides) under uncultured bacterium. Its description in RNAcentral is "bacterial SSU rRNA". It matches the Rfam family "Bacterial small subunit ribosomal RNA", at positions 329 to 793 of the family's 1533-position model. The record is from RNAcentral.
UGCCAGACUCCUACGGGAGGCAGCAGUGGGGAAUAUUGCACAAUGGGGGAAACCCUGAUGCAGCGACGCCGCGUGAAGGAAGAAGUAUUUCGGUAUGUAAAGCUCUAUCAGCAGGGAAGAAAAUGACGGUACCUGACUAAGAAGCCCCGGCUAACUACGUGCCAGCAGCCGCGGUAAUACGUAGGGGGCAAGCGUUAUCCGGAUUUACUGGGUGUAAAGGGAGCGUAGACGGCGAUACAAGUCUGAAGUGAAAGCCCGGGGCUCAACCCCGGGACUGCUUUGGAAACUGUGUUGCUGGAGUGCUGGAGAGGCAAGCGGAAUUCCUAGUGUAGCGGUGAAAUGCGUAGAUAUUAGGAAGAACACCAGUGGCGAAGGCGGCUUGCUGGACAGUAACUGACGUUGAGGCUCGAAAGCGUGGGGAGCAAACAGGAUUAGAUACCCGAGUAC